This is a long non-coding RNA of Mesocricetus auratus (golden hamster), 2683 nucleotides long. RefSeq lists it as uncharacterized. The transcript is spliced from 2 exons. The record is from RefSeq and is a predicted model, not a curated record. Lineage: Eukaryota; Metazoa; Chordata; Mammalia; Rodentia; Cricetidae.
GCUAAGGCACACAACAUACUAGGGCAGGCAACCCCAUAAGAUACAUUUCAGGGGAAAGGAAACCAACCAGGACAUGUCCUGUUCUAAUCAACUUUCAUUUUCUACGACUGCCAGUAACUGAAGAUAGACAACCACAAACAACAUAAUGAAGCCAUUUUCAGAAUCGUUUGCUCCGGCUCCCUCCGUUUCAUGUCAAACUUGGCGUUCAUUUGUUACCAACAGUAAUGAAAUGCUGGCUGUAGCAUGAGCCUGUUUGAGGACAAAAGCAGAUGCAGAACAACCACCACCACCUCCACCAAGGCAGCAUGCUGAUCCCUCACUACUCUUUCCAGCCCUCUCCAUUUUUAAUAUAAAGACCACGCUGAAGUGUGUCCGCAGCUGACGGUGAUGAGGCAGGCUCUCCACUCCCAUAGCUGGUGGGUGCUUAACUCUCUAUCCAUGCAAUCAGUUGGUGCUUAGAGAACCUCUCCGAGCCACUAUGUAGCAUCUUUAAUUCACUUUGGAAGCUCACCCACUCUCUUUUUCAGUUAAACCGUGUACUGUCAUCAGAGAGUGUAACCACCCCAAAACCAUCCUUAAGUGGUUAUUAUCUCUCAAAUAGAAGGGGAGCAUAACAACUGGGAAUCUGUGAUAAAUAUGCUUGACCAUAAAUAUAUGUAUUUUAUAUGUAAUAUAUGCAUACUAGGGUGAAGAUUUUGCCUUGAUUCAGAUGAUGAAUUAUAAUUGACAUUUUUCAACCCAAAGUAGUAACAACAAAAAUUAAAAAGUAUGAAUUAGGAUAAAGGAGCAUUGUCCCUGAUAAUCAAUGCCAUGACUAGAUUUUUUUUUUUGCUUUAUGUGGAAUAAGAAAAGGCAUGGCUCAAGUUAAUACAAUUUUUAAAAAAUAAAAACUACCUUUCAAAGGGAAGUGGGUGCUGAGUUCAUUUUAGUUGCUCAAUUCUAUAAUUUCUAAAAUGGAACCAUCAUAAACUGGGAAGCUAACAUUCUCCUAAAGAAUUCACUGUGCUCCUCAGAGCAUUUUAUCAGCAAUUCAAGAUGUAUUAGAAUUGAUAAUUUUACAGAAUCUGGUAGGUGGCACAAAUUUCCAAGAAAAUGAAAAUGCAUUCCAAAGUUUGGAAAGUAUUUCCCUCUCACAAAAGGCCGAAAGGCUGCCUUCCUUCUUCACCGAGAUAUCUCGAUUUCUCGGGAGCAUUUUUGCACCAUGUUCAUCCUUUACGGGGGUCUUAAGAAGCCACCACUCUGCUGGCCACGCAUUCUCUUAGCAGCACAUGUAGGCAGAACCCAGCUGUGUGGGUCUAAAAUUCAGAAACUGCCGAGCAUUUAUGUUUGUCCCCCAGAUUUCAAAGUAAUGCUGACACGAUAAUAAAGUCAGUUGAAAAUGUGUCUCUCCCACAGCUGAAAAGAACCCAGGAGCACUUCUAUGCUGUACAGUUGAGGCAAGUUAGAAGCUCUCUGGAGUAAAGAUUUUAAAGUAAAAGGGGGUUUGAAGCUGAUGUAGAACUUAAAUGGCUUAUUGUUAAAUUGCAAGUGAUUGCAGGAACUGUUUCAAAACUCAAGACUUAACAGACUUUUUUUAAAGGGUUGGGACAGGACUUAGCUGUCUGCAAAUCAUGCACACCCUGAACAUGGAAAUUCUGGGGGAGGGAGUUAGUUACAAGGUGCUUGGAUUUUGACCACUGGUCUUAUUUAUUGAAAUAUUCUUAUUAUUUUCCAAGUCAAAUAUGAUUUCACAAAUUGAAGUUUACCCUAUGGCUUCAUUUCCCUAAUUAUAUCCAAUGUUAACUUCAGACUUAAAAAUCCAGUUCUUCACACAUAUCCUUCGUGCAAGAAGUGAGGAAAUACCUUAACUAAGACUCCCACCUCAAGGAAAGAACACUGAACUGCUUGGAAAGAAAGCUUCCAAAGGAGGAAAAACACCGAUGCUUUCGUUUUGCUUCUGGAUAUUUACAGAACAACUUUCAACGAGAUUGCUGAUUUCAAAAGAAUAUGAAGUUUGUUUUCUUUAGCCAAAACAAAGUUGUGUAGGCCACUGGACAAGAAGAGAAACUGACCUUGCAGAGGGAAGGUGUGUGUGUGUGUGUGUGUGUGUGUGUGUGUGUGUGUGUGUAUGUGUGUGUGCGUGUGUGUAUGUGUGUGUGUACAAUACACACACAUAUAUAUGUAUAUAUAUACACAAUUUUAAUGAAAAAUACAGAUUUUGAAAAUGUAUUUUGAAAUAACCAGAAACACAAGCAGGCUAUACUUGUUGUAUGGAGGCGAGGAAUUAAGUUCGCAUAGAAAGAAUUUUCACCUUUGUGAAUGCAUAACCCAUGAACCAGUUUUUCAACUCAGUAUUCUAAAUUUGGCAACAAAGUUCUGCCUCCCAAGUAUAACCGAGUCCCGAGUAUUUUCUGUCUCGGGGAGGAGGUGGACACAGGUACUGCCGGCUCCUUCUCCCCCAAUCAAAAUUUCAAACUUAGAAAUCUGGCCUGUGUUGAGCACCGAAUUUACAGCAGGACCCCAAGGUUCAGAAGGGAACUUGAUGAGCUGGGAAAAGCCUGUCGGUAUGCUUGGGGCCACAGAUUCAGAGAAAUUAACUGGCUGUAGCCAAAACCAAAGCACUCAGCCCCCAAAAACAGUCUGCAAGAAACAUAGAGUUCUUUGAUGUGACAAGAAGAAUUAUAAAUAAAAUUGCUCCAAGGCA